GUGGAUUAGAUACCCUGGUAGUCCAUGCCGUAAACGUUGGGCACUAGGUGUGGGGGACAUUCCACGUUUUCCGCGCCGUAGCUAACGCAUUAAGUGCCCCGCCUGGGGAGUACGGCCGCAAGGCUAAAACUCAAAGGAAUUGACGGGGGCCCGCACAAGCGGCGGAGCAUGCGGAUUAAUUCGAUGCAACGCGAAGAACCUUACCAAGGCUUGACAUGAACCGGACCGGGCUGGAAACAGUCUUUCCCCUUGUGGGCUGGUUUACAGGUGGUGCACGGCUGUCGACAACU
RNAcentral lists this ribosomal RNA (290 nucleotides) under uncultured bacterium. RNAcentral's name for it is "partial 16S ribosomal RNA". It matches the Rfam family "Bacterial small subunit ribosomal RNA", at positions 773 to 1060 of the family's 1533-position model. The record is from RNAcentral.